Non-coding RNA from Melipona quadrifasciata, 45 nucleotides. The record is from Rfam. NCBI's taxonomy places the organism in Eukaryota, Metazoa, Arthropoda, Insecta, Hymenoptera, Apidae.
UCAUCGGCCCUUUUCAGGGCCAACAAUUUUAUGACAACGUAAAAC